Microtus ochrogaster (prairie vole) is the source of this 105-nucleotide small nuclear RNA. The record is from Ensembl. NCBI's taxonomy places the organism in Eukaryota, Metazoa, Chordata, Mammalia, Rodentia, Cricetidae.
GUGAUGCUCACCUCAGCACUACAUUCUUUAAAAUUAGAAUUCUACAGAGAAGAUGAAGUGGCCCCUGCACAGGGAUGACACUCGUGUGAAGUCUUCCGUAUUUUA